Molecule: ribosomal RNA, 468 nt
Filed under: uncultured bacterium
Lineage: Bacteria
Description: partial 16S ribosomal RNA
Rfam family: Bacterial small subunit ribosomal RNA
Source: RNAcentral
GACGAACGCUGGCGGCGUGCUUAACACAUGCAAGUCGAACGGCAAGGCCCUGCUUUUGUGGGGUGCUCGAGUGGCGAACGGGUGAGUAACACGUGAGUAACCUGCUCUUGACUUUGGGAUAACUUCAGGAAACUGGGGCUAAUACCGUAUAGGAGCUCCUGCUGCAUGGUGGGGGUGGGAAAGUUUCGGCGGUUGGGGAUGGACUCGCGGCUUAUCAGCUUGUUGGUGGGGUAGUGGCUUACCAAGGCUUUGACGGGUAGCCGGCCUGAGAGGGUGACCGGCCACAUUGGGACUAAGAUACGGCCCAGACUCCUACGGGAGGCAGCAGUGGGGAAUAUUGCACAAUGGGCGGAAGCCUGAUGCAGCAACGCCGCGUGCGGGAUGACGGCCUUCGGGUUGUAAACCGCUUUCGCCUGUGACGAAGCGUGAGUGACGGUAAUGGGUAAAGAAGCACCGGCUAACUACGUG